RNAcentral lists this ribosomal RNA (460 nucleotides) under uncultured bacterium. RNAcentral describes it as "bacterial SSU rRNA". It matches the Rfam family "Bacterial small subunit ribosomal RNA", at positions 340 to 790 of the family's 1533-position model. The record is from RNAcentral.
UACGGAAGGCAGCAGUGGGGAAUAUUGCACAAUGGGCGAAAGCCUGAUGCAGCUAUGCCGCGUGUAUGAAGAAGGCCUUAGGGUUGUAAAGUACUUUCAUCGGGGAGGAAAAAACAAAACUAAUAAUUUUAUUUCUUGACGUUACCCGAAAAAGAAGCACCGGCUAACUCCGUGCCAGCAGCCGCGGUAAUACGGAGGGUGCUAGCGUUAAUCAGAAUUACUGGGCGUAAAGAGCACGUAGGUGGUUUUUUAAGUCAGAUGUGAAAUCCCUGGGCUUAACCUAGGAACUGCAUUUUGAAACUGAAAUACUAGAGUAUCGUAGAGGGAGGUAGAAUUCUAGGUGUAGCGGUGAAAUGCGUAGAUAUCUGGAGGAAUACCUGUGGCGAAAGCGGCCUCCUAAACGAAUACUGACACUGAGGUGCGAAAGCGUGGGGAGCAAACGAGGGAUUUAGAUACCCGU